UCGGAAUUAUUGGCGUAAAGAGAGAGUAGGCGGCUGGAUCCGUCAGAUGUGAAAUGCGUUGGGCUUAACCCAGGACGUGCAUUUGAAACUGUCCGGCUGGAGUAGGGAGAGGAAAGUGGAAAUUCCGGUGUAGAGGUGAAAUUCGUAGAUAUCAGGAGGAACACCGGUGGUGAAGGCGACUUUAUGGCCUUAUACUCACGCUGAGACGUGAGAGCGUGGGUAGCAAACAGGAUUAGAUACCCUGGUAGUCCACGCUGUAAACGAUGAUCACUAGGUGUUGGGGGUAUUGACCCUCUCAGUGCCGCAGGUAAGGCACUAAGUGAACCGCAUGGUGAGUACGGUCGCAAGAUUAAAACUCAAAGGAAUUGACGGGGUCCCGCACAAGCGGUAGAGCAUGUGGCUUAAUACGAUGCAACGAGAAGAACGUUACAUAGGCUUGACAUCCCCGGAAUUUUGUGGAAACACAAAAGUGCCUUUCGGGGAACCAGGAGACAGUAGGGGCAUGGCUGUCGUCAGCAUGUGUCGCGCGAUGUUGGGUUAAGUCCCGCAACGAGCGCAACCCUUAUCAGUAAUUGCCAUCAUUCAGUUGGGCACAGUAAAGAGACUGCCGGUGUUAAACCGGAGGAAGGUGGGGAUGAUACCAAGUCCUCAUGGCCUUCAUGGUUAGCAGUACACACGCCUACAAUGGGUGGUGCAAAGAGACGCAAACUCGCGAGAGCCAGCUAAUCUCAAAAAGCCAUCCUCAGCUUUGACCGGAGGUGUUAACUCGACUCCAUGAAGUUGGAAUCCGCUAGUACCGGGAAUUCCAC
This 809-nucleotide ribosomal RNA is filed under the name uncultured bacterium. RNAcentral describes it as "bacterial SSU rRNA". It matches the Rfam family "Bacterial small subunit ribosomal RNA", at positions 545 to 1353 of the family's 1533-position model. The record is from RNAcentral.